GUACACUCCUGCGGGAGGCAGCAGUGGGGAAUUUUGGACAAUGGGCGAAAGCCUGAUCCAGCAAUGCCGCGUGAGUGAAGAAGGCCUUCGGGUUGUAAAGCUCUUUUGUCAGGGAAGAAACGGUGAAAGCUAAUAUCUUUUGCUAAUGACGGUACCUGAAGAAUAAGCACCGGCUAACUACGUGCCAGCAGCCGCGGUAAUACGUAGGGUGCAAGCGUUAAUCGGAAUUACUGGGCGUAAAGCGUGCGCAGGCGGUUUUGUAAGUCUGAUGUGAAAUCCCCGGGCUCAACCUGGGAAUUGCAUUGGAGACUGCAAGGCUAGAAUCUGGCAGAGGGGGGUAGAAUUCCACGUGUAGCAGUGAAAUGCGUAGAUAUGUGGAGGAACACCGAUGGCGAAGGCAGCCCCCUGGGUCAAGAUUGACGCUCAUGCACGAAAGCGUGGGGAGCAAACAGGAUUAGAUACCCGUGUAGUCCCA
This 475-nucleotide ribosomal RNA is filed under the name uncultured organism. Its description in RNAcentral is "partial 16S ribosomal RNA". It matches the Rfam family "Bacterial small subunit ribosomal RNA", at positions 331 to 797 of the family's 1533-position model. The record is from RNAcentral.